Molecule: ribosomal RNA, 463 nt
Filed under: uncultured bacterium
Lineage: Bacteria
Description: bacterial SSU rRNA
Rfam family: Bacterial small subunit ribosomal RNA
Source: RNAcentral
AUACGGGAGGCAGCAGUGGGGAAUUUUGGACAAUGGGCGCAAGCCUGAUCCAGCCAUACCGCGUGAGUGAAGAAGGCCUUCGGGUUGUAAAGCUCUUUCGGCAGGAAAGAAAUCGUGCAAUCUAAUAAAUUGUAUGGAUGACGGUACCUGAAGAAGAAGCACCGGCUAACUACGUGCCAGCAGCCGCGGUAAUACGUAGGGUGCGAGCGUUAAUCGGAAUUACUGGGCGUAAAGCGUGCGCAGGCGGUUUUGUAAGACAGACGUGAAAUCCCCGGGCUUAACCUGGGAACUGCGUUUGUGACUGCAAGGCUAGAGUGUAGCAGAGGGGGGUAGAAUUCCACGUGUAGCAGUGAAAUGCGUAGAUAUGUGGAGGAAUACCGAUGGCGAAGGCAGCCCCCUGGGCUAACACUGACGCUCAUGCACGAAAGCGUGGGGAGCAAACAGGAUUAGAUACCCCGGUAGC